GAUGAACGCUGGCGGCGUGCCUAAUACAUGCAAGUCGAGCGAACAGAUAAGGAGCUUGCUCCUUUGACGUUAGCGGCGGACGGGUGAGUAACACGUGGGUAACCUACCUAUAAGACUGGGAUAACUUCGGGAAACCGGAGCUAAUACCGGAUAACAUUUGGAACCGCAUGGUUCUAAAGUGAAAGAUGGUUUUGCUAUCACUUAUAGAUGGACCCGCGCCGUAUUAGCUAGUUGGUAAGGUAACGGCUUACCAAGGCAACGAUACGUAGCCGACCUGAGAGGGUGAUAGGCCACACUGGAACUGAGACACGGUCCAGACUCCUACGGGAGGCAGCAGUAGGGAAUCUUCCGCAAUGGGCGAAAGCCUGACGGAGCAACGCCGCGUGAGUGAUGAAGGGUUUCGGCUCGUAAAACUCUGUUAUUAGGGAAGAACAAACGUGUAAGUAACUGUGCACGUCUUGACGGUACCUAAUCAGAAAGCCACGGCUAACUACGUG
Molecule: ribosomal RNA, 497 nt
Filed under: uncultured bacterium
Lineage: Bacteria
Description: partial 16S ribosomal RNA
Rfam family: Bacterial small subunit ribosomal RNA
Source: RNAcentral